RNAcentral lists this ribosomal RNA (253 nucleotides) under uncultured bacterium. RNAcentral's name for it is "partial 16S ribosomal RNA". It matches the Rfam family "Bacterial small subunit ribosomal RNA", at positions 524 to 776 of the family's 1533-position model. The record is from RNAcentral.
UACGAACUGUGCGAACGUUAUUCGGAAUCACUGGGCUUACAGGGUGCGUAGGCGGCUUGUUAAGUAGGGUGUGAAAGCCCCCGGCUCAACCGGGGAAUUGCGCCCUAAACUGGCGAGCUGGAGUGAGAUAGGGGUGUGUGGAACUUCCGGUGGAGCGGUGAAAUGUGUUGAUAUCGGAAGGAACGCCGGUGGCGAAAGCGACACACUGGAUCUUGGCUGACGCUGAGGCACGAAAGCCAGGGGAGCGAACGGG